GUUUGACCUCGGAUCAGGUAGGGAUACCCGCUGAACUUAAGCAUAUCAAAAGCCGGAGGAAAU
Molecule: ribosomal RNA, 63 nt
Filed under: Curvularia lunata
Lineage: Eukaryota; Fungi; Ascomycota; Dothideomycetes; Pleosporales; Pleosporaceae
Description: partial 28S ribosomal RNA
Source: RNAcentral